GUGGCAUCUGCAAUACACCAUACUUCAGACACAGAUUCUCACCCAGGCAAGCGAUGAUUUCCAUUCUUCGUGCUCGAUGUCGCGGCUACGAGACGAGAAAGCCACACAACAUGAAAAUAUCACAUUCUUCACUCUAUACAUGC
This is a non-coding RNA of Spodoptera litura, 143 nucleotides long. Lineage: Eukaryota; Metazoa; Arthropoda; Insecta; Lepidoptera; Noctuidae. The record is from RefSeq and is a predicted model, not a curated record.